RNAcentral lists this ribosomal RNA (333 nucleotides) under Blastocystis sp. subtype 1. Its description in RNAcentral is "SSU rRNA". It matches the Rfam family "Eukaryotic small subunit ribosomal RNA", at positions 19 to 369 of the family's 1831-position model. Lineage: Eukaryota; Bigyra; Opalinata; Blastocystidae. The record is from RNAcentral.
AGUAGUCAUACGCUCGUCUCAAAGAUUAAGCCAUGCAUGUGUAAGUGUAAAUAUACUAGUUUGGAACUGCGAAUGGCUCAUUAUAUCAGUUAUAGUUUAUUUGGUGAAGUGUACUACUUGGAUAACCGUAGUAAUUCUAGGGCUAAUACAUGAGAAAGUCCUCUGGUGAGGUGUGUUUAUUAGAAUGAAAACCAUAUGCUUCGGCAUGAUAGUGAGUAAUAGUAACCUAUCGUAUCGCAUGCUUAAUGUAGCGAUGAGUCUUUCAAGUUUCUGCCCUAUCAGCUUACGAUGGUAGUAUAUGGGCCUACCAUGGCAGUAACGGGUAACGAAUAA